CACGUAGGGGGCGAGCGUUGUUCGGAAUUACUGGGCGUAAAGGGCAUGUAGGCGGCUUUGUAAGCUUGGCGUGAAAUUCCACGGCUUAACCGUGGGAAUGCGUUGAGAACUGCGAGGCUUGAGUGACGGAGAGGGAGCUAGAAUUCCUGGUGUAGGGGUGGAAUCUGUAGAGAUCAGGAAGAAUACCAAUGGCGAAGGCAAGCUCCUGGCCGAUGACUGACGCUGAGGUGCGAAAGUGUGGGGAU
This 245-nucleotide ribosomal RNA is filed under the name uncultured bacterium. Its description in RNAcentral is "partial 16S ribosomal RNA". It matches the Rfam family "Bacterial small subunit ribosomal RNA", at positions 524 to 768 of the family's 1533-position model. The record is from RNAcentral.